This 305-nucleotide ribosomal RNA is filed under the name uncultured bacterium. RNAcentral's name for it is "bacterial SSU rRNA". It matches the Rfam family "Bacterial small subunit ribosomal RNA", at positions 337 to 659 of the family's 1533-position model. The record is from RNAcentral.
UCCUACGGGAGGCAGCAGUAGGGAAUAUUACUCAAUGGGGGAAACCCUGAAGCAGCAACGCCGCGUGGAGGAUGAAGGUUUUCGGAUUGUAAACUCCUUUUGUUAGAGAAGAUAAUGACGGUAUCAAACGAAUAAGCACCGGCUAACUCCGUGCCAGCAGCCGCGGUACUACGGAGGGUGCAAGCGUUACUCGGAAUCACUGGGCGUAAAGAGCGCGUAGGCGGGAUAGCAAGUCAGAUGUGAAAUCCUAUGGCUUAACCAUAGAACUGCAUUUGAAACUGUUAUUCUAGAGUAUGGGAGGGGUG